UCACUAGUCACUAAACCAAACGCAUGAAAUCAACAAGGCAAAAACAUUUUUAACAAUACGUAGCUCUUGAGAUCGACCUCAACGAGGAGCUAGUGCAAUACUAAACGCAGAUCUAAUAAUCCUUAGGCCAUACAAACAGUACAUGGAAACUAUUAACUCUAUGAUUCGUACUACUUGAGAAUUUCAAAAGAAAAAAAAAAAUCGAAGUCAGAUCAGUUUCCACGAUCAGUCAACAGCCAACCACGAUUCGCCGGAGAACACUAGACUCAUGCAAAACAAACUCCGAUCGGAGCGAGAAUCUCACCGGAAAACAUCCCAGCAACUAUCCAUUCCUUCGAUCGGCUCCGGGAACCCGUCCUUGGCGUAGACACUUCGGUACACAGGUCCAACGGAUGGUCUUCCAUCGCUACCUUCUUUGCCUUCUUCGACUUGGAAGAUGAAUUUCUCCGGCUGCUGCGUCAUGAUCGAUCUCUCUCUUUCUCUCUCUAGAAGACUAGAACUUUCUCUCUGCUCUUUGUAAACGAGUUGAAGAGAGGUGUAGGGACCACGCGGCUUUACGGAUCGGAGUUAUAAUAAAGACCUACGAAUGCAGAUUUCACCACGUGGAGUACUUGCAAGAGCAUCAUAUUCCAUUUCGGGUACAGAUUCAAGGCGUAUAUCCACGUUUGGCACUGGUGGUCCAACUGUCCCGAGCAUGUCCAGUCGAUCCGGCAGCGAGACGAAAGUUCCAGCACAGCUCUCGGUUAGACCUACAAAAGAACAAUCAUACAACAGGAAAGCAGUCAAAUCACAUUCUCUGUUAAUAUGGAAUCAAAUAUACUGUAACACUCAAUUUUGGGAAUGGGUACCGUAUCCUUGAAGAACAUGACAGCAAGCCACCACUCUUAGAAAUGACUCUACGUGACUAGCGAGAGGAGCAGCUCCCGAUAGAAUGAUCCUCACAUUGCCUCCGAGCCCUUGUUUAACCUAAGUGAGAAAACAAUGGGAUAAAUUUGCUAUAAAGUUUCAUAACAAAGAGUGACUGGUUCUCCAGAUGGUUUUCUAAUGAGUUUAGUUUAAUAUAGAACUUUACUACCUUGCUGAAUACAAGUUUGUCACAUAAUGGAGAGGCCUCUACAUGAGACUGUCCUUUCUUCAUAUGUCCAUAUUUACUGAUGAUGUUUUGAAUAUGUUAGAUUUAAUAGCUUAGAGAACAGAUAAGCAAAGUUACGUCUGACUUACAAGGAAAAUGCAGAAUCAAACAUAAACUUUUUGAAGAAUCCACCAGCAGCAAGCUUCUGCUGAAGACCUGUUGAAUAUAAUAUGUCGACGUAUUAAAACACGGAAAAGUUAUCAAAGAGAAGAAAUUAUGUAAGUCAAUGAUAUGAAAUUCAAUUAAUGUCUCGAAGAAUAAUUAAGUUGUACAUAAUGAUAAAAAAUGAGACAACCACCAAAGAAGAAAGACUGAAAAGCUUAUCACAAGUAUUCUUGUCGAAUUAAUUAUAGUAUUCACAUUCGAUAUAUCUCAUCACAACUCGUAAUACUUUCAUGCAAGAGUGUUAGGUGGUAUAAAUGUAGUUGUUUAAGAUAAGCAAAUGAUACUAGAGCACAAUUCAAUGAGGUGAGGAAUUGAGUAUACAUACGCAUGAGGCAUUUCAAACGUCUUACCUGAGUAAACUCUAUCUAGCACACGAGGUACAGCGCAGAAAAUAGUUGGUUUAAGCUCGCCAAGGUCUUCUAUCAACAGCUUGACAUCCUGUGGAGAUAACCCAUAGAAGGUUAACGUAAAAUUUUCAAAACUGGUUUACAUAAUAAGCUUUAAGCUGUACUGACCCCACGCCAGAAGCCAAUUGCAGCACCAUGUUGGAUAAAACACUCCUCGAUAACUCGGUCAAAGAUGUGGGCCAGAGGAAGGUAAGAAAGGUAAACAUCUUUCACAGUCAACUGUUGAUUUGCACAGCCAAAUGAAAAUCGAUUAUAAUAAGAGCCAAGUGACAAGGGAAACUAGAAGAUUUGAGCGUCUUUAUGAAUCAUAACAACUGCAUGAAAGCAAGCAGGAAACUCACGGCUUCGUUAGCGCUUUUCAGUAGACGGAUCACUCCAGCGAUAAGGGUAACAAUGCUUUCGUUAGAUAUCAUCACUCCUUUUGGAUCACCAGUGGCUCCACUAGUAUACAUAAUCGUGCAAAUGUCACUCUUCUUCUUGAUUGGAAGAUCAAACUGCUUUUCUUCGCCCUGGAAGAAAUAUUUCCAAUUUUCAUGGUAAGCAUAGUUGUUAGACUACUCACCACUGGAAAGAGAUAUCACAGAAUCAGUACGUUUCAGAAAAACCAAACGAAAAGUCUCAUACCAGCUUCAAAAAGUCAUCCCAAGCAUAAAUAACCAACCCAAAAGUUUCAGCUGCUUCUUUUUGUUCACGUGUGACACCACCAAAGCUCACAACGGCUGUAUUUAUAACCAAGCACAACUGAUCAUUAGCAACAAAUGUUAAAAGCCAAAAAGGAAGAAACACAAAUAAGAAUAACUCACUCUUCAUGUACUCUGUCGCGUUUGGGCAUGUCUUAAAUAACUAAUAGUAAAAAGAACAAAAAAAGGAAGUGGUGAGAAAUAGAUAGUUAAUAAAUUUAAACAAUGAAGAUAUAUUAACACUGUACCUCAGAGAUCUUCUUCUCCUCCACAAAGACAAUUGAAACCUCAGAAUGGGUAAUAAUGAACUCCACAGCACCAGCGCCUAGUGUAUCAUACAAAGGAACACAAUAGAGUCCAUGUGCAUUGCACGCCUGCACCAAAAAAAGAGCACUGUCAAUCCUCUAACCAAAAACACAAUCCAUGAUAGUACAAUGAUCCAGCCGCAAGAUUACCUCCAUACUUAUGAUCCACUCAGGAGAAUUAGCACCAUAGAUACCACAUUUUGCUUGCUAAACUCCCCCACAUGAACAAACACAAGAUUAAGCAACGGAAUAACCACAUUCCGGCGAAUGAACAGGAAAUGACUAGACUGAAGAUGGAUAAAGGAAGGAUUUAAAUGGAUCUUAACCUCCUCAACUCCACAAUUUCUGAGAGCAUUUCCGAGUUUUAUGACAAUAUCGUAGACUUCUUGGUACGUUUGCCAUACAUACUUCCCAGGCUGAGCACAAUUAAAAACACAAGUAAAUACAUCGAUAAUAAAUCUCUUAACCGAAAAUACCAAAAAGAAAAAACAGAGUAGACAACACCUUUCCGUCUACAAUCUCACGGCGGCCAAGCAUCUGAUUGUUUGGAUACUUCUCAACAGCCAUCCUGCAAACGAGAAGGAAAGCAAUCUCACUAGUCACUAAACCAAACGCAUGAAAUCAACAAGGCAAAAACAUUUUUAACAAUACGUAGCUCUUGAGAUCGACCUCAACGAGGAGCUAGUGCAAUACUAAACGCAGAUCUAAUAAUCCUUAGGCCAUACAAACAGUACAUGGAAACUAUUAACUCUAUGAUUCGUACUACUUGAGAAUUUCAAAAGAAAAAAAAAAAUCGAAGUCAGAUCAGUUUCCACGAUCAGUCAACAGCCAACCACGAUUCGCCGGAGAACACUAGACUCAUGCAAAACAAACUCCGAUCGGAGCGAGAAUCUCACCGGAAAACAUCCCAGCAACUAUCCAUUCCUUCGAUCGGCUCCGGGAACCCGUCCUUGGCGUAGACACUUCGGUACACAGGUCCAACGGAUGGUCUUCCAUCGCUACCUUCUUUGCCUUCUUCGACUUGGAAGAUGAAUUUCUCCGGCUGCUGCGUCAUGAUCGAUCUCUCUCUUUCUCUCUCUAGAAGACUAGAACUUUCUCUCUGCUCUUUGUAAACGAGUUGAAGAG
This 3814-nucleotide long non-coding RNA is filed under the name Brassica napus (rape). RNAcentral's name for it is "long non-coding RNA (BNAP_LNC000216)". The record is from RNAcentral. Lineage: Eukaryota; Viridiplantae; Streptophyta; Magnoliopsida; Brassicales; Brassicaceae.